RNAcentral lists this ribosomal RNA (497 nucleotides) under uncultured bacterium. RNAcentral's name for it is "partial 16S ribosomal RNA". It matches the Rfam family "Bacterial small subunit ribosomal RNA", at positions 28 to 507 of the family's 1533-position model. The record is from RNAcentral.
GAUGAACGCUGGCGGCGUGCCUAAUACAUGCAAGUCGAGCGAACGGACGAGAAGCUUGCUUCUCUGACGUUAGCGGCGGACGGGUGAGUAACACGUGGAUAACCUACCUAUAAGACUGGGAUAACUUCGGGAAACCGGAGCUAGUACCGGAUGAUAUUUUGAACCGCAUGGUUCAAAAGUGAAAGACGGUCUUGCUGUCACUUAUAGAUGGAUCCGCGCUGCAUUAGCUAGUUGGUAAGGUAACGGCUUACCAAGGCAACGAUGCAUAGCCGACCUGAGAGGGUGAUCGGCCACACUGGAACUGAGACACGGUCCAGACUCCUACGGGAGGCAGCAGUAGGGAAUCUUCCGCAAUGGGCGAAAGCCUGACGGAGCAACGCCGCGUGAGUGAUGAAGGUCUUCGGAUCGUAAAACUCUGUUAUUAGGGAAGAACAUAUGUGUAAGUAACUGUGCACAUCUUGACGGUACCUAAUCAGAAAGCCACGGCUAACUACGUG